Molecule: non-coding RNA, 113 nt
Organism: Caerostris extrusa
Lineage: Eukaryota; Metazoa; Arthropoda; Arachnida; Araneae; Araneidae
Source: the annotation of a GenBank genome assembly
AACGGCCAUACCAUGCUGAAUAUACCGGUUCUCGUUAGAUCACCGAAGUCAAGCAUCAUUGGGCGCGGUCAGUACUUGGGUGGGUGACCACCUGGGAACACCACGUGCCGUUG